Molecule: ribosomal RNA, 252 nt
Filed under: uncultured bacterium
Lineage: Bacteria
Description: partial 16S ribosomal RNA
Rfam family: Bacterial small subunit ribosomal RNA
Source: RNAcentral
GAUCCUGGCUCAGGACGAACGCUGGCGGCGUGCCUAACACAUGCAAGUCGAACGGGGCUAGGAAAGCUUGCUUUCCGAAGCCUAGUGGCGGACGGGUGAGUAACGCGUGAGUAACCUGCCUUUCAGAGGGGAAUAACGUUCUGAAAAGAACGCUAAUACCGCAUAACGUACAGUUACCGCAUGGUAGCAGUACCAAAGGAGCAAUCCGCUGAGAGAUGGACUCGCGUCCGAUUAGCUAGUUGGUGGGUAAAG